Long non-coding RNA from Bos taurus (domestic cattle), 593 nucleotides. The record is from Ensembl. Lineage: Eukaryota; Metazoa; Chordata; Mammalia; Artiodactyla; Bovidae.
CAGGAGUGGCCUCCUCCCUGAGCUCCCCGUUCUUGGAUGUGCCACAGAGGGAUCCGGCGCCUCCAGAGGCACACAUGCUGGUUGAAUCUGACGUCUGCAUCCCUGAUGAGGAUUCUCUGCUGCUCAAGGUUUAUCAGUGUCAUAUCACUUCUAACAGAGGAAAACUAAGACCCUGAGUGGAUUCUGUACCAACUGAACCAGCAGGCAAGCAGCCAGAAAGCUGCCUGGAGCCAUUUCUGACUGCAAACUCUUGACUAUGUUCUCUUAAACCUCAUUUCUGUACUUCUACAACACUUUUCUUCAUGCCUACCUGUGCACCCAACUUAUUUUUCUUUCUUCCUUACAGGUAUGUCUGUGUCUUGCUCAUCUGUUUCCCUUAUAAUGUCUGGCUCAAUGCUUUCCAAAAAGUCAACGUCCAAUAAAUAUUUGUUGAAUUGAAAAACUGUAAUUUUUGCCAAGAAAAUGUCUUUUUAUCUUUGAAAAAUUGAUUCAGUUCAGUUCAGUUCAGUCCAGUUCAGUCACUCAGUCGUGUCCGACUCUGCGACCCCAUGAAUUGCAGCACGCGAGCCUCCUUGUCCAUCACCAACUCCCGG